RNAcentral lists this non-coding RNA (30 nucleotides) under Homo sapiens (human). Lineage: Eukaryota; Metazoa; Chordata; Mammalia; Primates; Hominidae. The record is from RNAcentral.
UGAAAAGAUAACUGAAAAUGUGGAAGUGAC